ACACAUAGCCUGGGACUUCUGUAAGAAUUCAUUUUAUAAAUUCAAAGUAAAUAAAGCAAACCUAAGAAAAAUUUUUUUAAUUCCUUGUUUUUUCCUAGUUAUAAAAAAAUGACAGCAGCCUCCAUUAAUCGCUUAACCUAUUGAUGUAACCAUAGUGGUCUCAUUGAUUUCCAAUUUUCAGGAAAACUGUUCCUGCUGGUGGAAGCCCAAAUCUAUUAAUUUAUUGUGUGUAUUCAAGGGAAGAAGAUGAGCCCAUUGAUCCAGCGGUGCACCAGUUGUUAAAUAUUUAAUGCUUAUUCCCAUAACUGAGCUUAUUUCAAGUUUGAAUAUUUUAUUUUUCUUUUUGUCUUUUUAGGGCCGCACCCAUGGCAUAUGGAGGUUCCCAGGUGACAGGUCUAAUUGGAGCCAUAGCUGCCGGCCUACACCAGAGGCAUAGCAACUCUGGAUCCAAGCCGUGUCUUCGACCUACACCACAGCUCACGGCCACGCUGGAUUCUUAACCCACUGAGUGAGGCCUAGGAUCGAACUGGCAACCUCAUGGUUCCUAGUUGGAUCCAUUUCCACUGCGCCACGAUGAGAACUCCAUCAAGUUUGAAUAUUGACAGUCACCCACAUGCAUGGACUAGUAUUACCUGUAGUACAUAACAUGUGUCCAGAAGCCUCCAGUUCAUUUCAUCUUUGUAGAUUGACUUACUUGUUGUGUAGAAGAUUUGCAACAUUAUUUUCCAGAUGGCUGUCCUGCAGUCCAGAUGUAAAUUUCAGUUACUCUUGAUGUCUUUUGGUGGAAGGAUUAUGUGGAGUACACUUGAUCUCUACUCUUCCUCAACAUUGAACAUUAUUAAAGCUUUAUUAAAUUCCCAAAUGUACUUGAGAAUUAUUGACCUUUAUAAUGAUCAUAACACCUUUGUCUUCUAGUGCUGUGUCUUACUAGAGGUACUUUGCUGCACCAAGAGAAAGAUUCUGCUUUCAGAUUUUCACCACAGCAAGAAAUAUUUUGCUCUAAGCCUCUAAGGUUAUAUUCACAUUUAAGUAUUUAAAUCUUGGCUUUUAUUUUGAGAUCCUUGGCGGUCUUUCCAGCCUCAGUCUUUAAAACCGUUGUCAUCUUUCCACCAUCAUAUAGCUUCUGGCUCCUUCAUGGGUAUUCAUAUACCCAGAAGUAGGGGAGAUUGUUCUCUUGGAAACUCAUGUCCUGUUGCACUGGUUCUGGUCAGCUCAUUUUGACUUCAAGAUCCUUUUUGUCCUGGUAUUGAUUCCUGCCUUUUACUCUUGGAUUUAACACUUGGCUUCUCUCUCUUGGACCUUUGAACCUCAUUUUUUCCCCCAGCAUUAACAGUGUUUCUUAGUGUUAACUUUUUUAAUUAUUAUUAUUAUUAUUUAAUUAUUAUUAUUAUUAUUAUUUUAUUUUUAGUAGUUAUUUCCCCAAUAUGAUUUUUUUUCCUACUGUACAGCAUGGUGACCCAGUUACAUGUACAUGUACGCAUUCUAUUUUUGUACAUUAUCUUGCUCCAUCAUAUGUGACUAGACAUAGUUCCCAGUGCUACAUAGCAGGAUCUCAUUGCUAAUCCAUUCCACAGGCCAGCUCUCUUUUUUUAAGCAAAGGUACUUUUCACCAAAGCUCCCUAGAAGACAUCUUCAUACUUUUCUUUGUUCUCAGUUGAGUCACGAGUUUGUUACCGACUCAGUCACUGACAAAGAAAGUGAGAUUCCCCUUACAUCAUCAAAGACACCUUCUGGGUCUAAAGAUAGGGUCAGCUUGCUUUGAGGGAGCAGGUACAUUUUCCAAGAUUAUGUGAACAACCUCAAUAACAUAGAACUUCCUCAGAGGCUGGUGUUAAAAUUAUUAAUGAGCAAUCCAUGCUCUUGGGAAAUGUGUCAUAUUGACAUCACUAUGAGAAAAGCAGCAAGAAACAGGUAUUCCUUGCUAACCCUUGGUAGGAUUUUCAAAAUCCUAAUUUUUGUAGAAUAAAGUUCGCUAUGGAAUUUUGACACUUGUCACAUGUAAAAUAAUGUUGAAUCUUCAUCAUCAAUUUUUCAAUUACAUAAUUCCAAUUUAAUAUCCUUGAGCAUUUCACAGUCUUUUUAAAAAACUUUUCUUAUUAUAGUUAAUUUACAUUGUUGUCAAUUUCUGUUGUACAGUAAAGUGACUCAGUCACAUAUCUAUACACAUUCUCUUUCUCAUAUUAUAUGUCAUCAUGUUCCAUCACAAGUGAUUGGACAUAGAUUCCUGUGAAGUACAGCAGGAACUCAGUGCCUAUCUAUUUGUAAUGUAACAGUUUGCAUCUAUUAACCCCAAACUCCCGACAUUUCACGAGCAAAUAUAAAUGCCUUUAUUUCACAGAUGUAACCAGAGACAGAAAGGUGAAGUGAUGGUACUGAAGAUGAUCUUCCUGACACUGACCCCACGCCUUUUCAUUAUAUCAUGUAUUAGAUAUCUGUUAUUUUCCUUGAUGUCCUAUCUCCUUAACUAGAGGAUAUUCUUUUUAAGGGAAAUGACAUAAUGCAAUAAAAAUUCAUAUUUUAAGGAAAUGACAUAAUGCAAUAAAAAUUCAUAUUUUAAGGCAAGACAAGAAAAAUUUAAACAUAAAAAAAUGCUUUCUGCCCAUUUCUCUGCCUCCUCCUCUCUAGUGUGCAUUGUACAUCUGCCUUAUGUGUUAACCAGACCUCCCCAAUGGCAGAAAUACCUGCUCAACCACAAAGUUCAUUUUUUUCUUCUUCUGACACCAACUGUGUAACUCCAUAGAAGAGAACAUUCCUUUCUCAAUUCUGUAAGAGGUCACGAUGGCCCACCACCCGUGCUGUAGGUACAGACAUCUUUGGUAAAUUUUAUGUACAAUGCUAAUAUAUUAUUUCCCUUAUAGGUAGAGUUUGAUAUGGAACUCAUUGGACUGCAUCUAGUGGAAGUUUUUCACGUAAAUACUUACCUCUAGUCUUAUUAAUGUUACUAGCUAUAUUGCUUGUAUCUGCCCAUUUUAUGAGAUGAUUAUUUUUUUUAGGGUCACACCCACAGUGUAUGGAGGUUCCCAGGCUAGGGGUUGAAUCGGAGAUGUAGCUGCUGGCCCACACCAGAGCCACAGCAAUGCCAGAUCCAAGCCAAGUCUUCAACCUGCGCCACAGCUCAUGGCAAAGCUGGAUCCUUAACCCACUGAGCCACCAGGGAUCAAACCUGCUUCCUCAUGGAUGUUAGUCAGAUUUGUUUCUGCUGAGCCAUGAUUGUUUCUUGCAUUACCAAAUGUGUGACUGAGCCUCUGAUAAAAAAUAAUGAUGAGUAGGUGACUUGAAAUGAUUAAGUAUACAGUUCUAUAAGAUUAAUGAUUGUAAUAGUGUAACUCUAGAUAUGAGAAGAAGCCAUAAGGAGGCCCCAUUUCUUGGAACAUAAUAGGCUAGUAAGACAGGUGGUCCAGAGGCUUGUGGUUACUAUUAAGAAGGCCCAGUCCAACAAUAGCACACUGAGUGAUCCAUCAAUGAAAUCCUCACCUGACCUGGGGAUGCAUACUCCUAGCACCAUGGGACAAACUGGUCAUGAAAUGCCCCCCAAACAGUCAUUGAAAUUAAGACUGAAAGGGAAGGGAUAGGAAAAUAAAGAAUGUUGUUGGACAUCUAGUUCUACAAGAAUCAAGUCAUUAGCCACUGUAUUCAUGACCUACAAUAUACCCUGAAAGGAAUUAGGGGUGAAGAUCAGGAUGAAGCACUUUGUGCUCUGGGAAAACUGGCAGAACUGGCCUUCAGAAUUAGGUAUUUUCAGGAGAAAAUUUUAUGAACCCAGUUUCUUGCAUCUUCUCAUACUUGAAAAAGCACUAAAACAAUUAACUAAGAUAUCUGCUUUUUUUUUUUUUUUUUUUUUUGAGAAUAGCAGUAGCCUUCUACCAGGAUGUGCACUCAAUUGCACAUAAAACCUUCACCAAAAUCACAUGCAUACUGGCCUCUCUACUUACCUUUUUAAAAUAGUCCUCAGGGCUUUCUGAAAGACCGACCCCCAGAUUACAAUCCUCAGGUUGGCUCAAAUAAAAUUCUGUGUUUCUUUCUUAGAUUGACUAUUAAUUUUUUGUAGACAGAUGUAUCUUUUAUGUAUUCUGAUGUCUAGUAUUUUAGGAUUCAGAAAAUGUUCAUUGAUUAUAAAUUCUCUGCUGAACUAAGGCAAGAUUAAAAAUCUUGCACUUGAGUCUUUUCUUGACAGUAAUAUACCUCUGGACAUUAAUCUCUGCCUGGGUCAGUUUUAGAGGGUGUUUAUUUAGAUCCAAGUAAGCCCAUUCUCCUGUGAAAUAAAAAAAAGGCAAUUUGGUACUUAAUUUCUUCUUUAUUUUUUGUGGAUACACCAUAGAGUUUCUCACAAAUUAGACUGUUAUUAUAAAGACAUGAAUCUGCUAACAUAUCUUAAACCAUAAAGAUUAUAAAGUAAGUCAAGGAUAUAUGUAAACAAAGCCAAAAUCCAAUCUGGCCAGAAG
RNAcentral lists this long non-coding RNA (4442 nucleotides) under Sus scrofa (pig). RNAcentral's name for it is "lncRNA (ENSSSCG00030061725.1)". Lineage: Eukaryota; Metazoa; Chordata; Mammalia; Artiodactyla; Suidae. The record is from RNAcentral.